This 6685-nucleotide long non-coding RNA is filed under the name Malus domestica (apple). Its description in RNAcentral is "long non-coding RNA (MDOM_LNC019864)". Lineage: Eukaryota; Viridiplantae; Streptophyta; Magnoliopsida; Rosales; Rosaceae. The record is from RNAcentral.
AAGCAAACAAUCAAACAAACAACGAAUAAACAUGACAAGUAUGGCAAAGUAAAAACCAGAUAGAGUAGAGUUUAAGAACGCAAAUCUGGUGUUGGAGAUAGAUGAUCUUGUUGUCUCUCCAUAGCUUUGAUCUCGAACUGGUUCGGAAUUCUGAGCGAGAGUUCCUUGGUUUCAAAUCAGACUCCUUCUGCUUUCUUCUCUGCAUGUUUCUUCUGCACUGCAGGCAGGCACGAGGUAGAGUGAUGCGUAAAAUAACUAAACACACAAAUUAACCCUUUUGUUGACAAUUGUAGUAUGGAUAAGUAGGGAUCGUUCUUAAACCGGGGAUUAGGAGGGAUUGCUAAACACUCUAAACUGACUCAAAUAUGCAAAACAAAAUUUAAAACACUAAACUAGACUCAAAGAAUGCAAAUCUAAACUCUAAAACACUAAAACGAACCAGAAGACUCAAAACAGCACAAAGACACUCAAAACUGCCUUAAAAACACUUUCUGGGCAGUUUUGAACUCUAACACAAACUUGGACGAAAUUGGGUUAUAACUUGAAUCAAAACACUUAAAAACACAAAAUAAAUUGAUUUCUAACUAAUCUAACACUUUAAAAUAAUGGGGGAUUUGGUUUUGACGAAUUUGAAAACAAACAAAACAGAUUGUAACUAAAACAGAGUUUUAAAACGAAUUUGGAUGAAACUAUGGAUAAAAGGAUAGUUAGGAGGUUCUUCUCCACACAUGACACACUUGCAUACAAAACGAUUUCCAGUUGCUUUUCAAUAAGCUAUGAAUUCUCAACGCCCAGAUUAACCGUGAAUUGCACUAAUUAACCCUCAGAUUUUCCAAAAGUUAUUGAAUUGGAUGAUUGCAUACGACAACCCAAAGCAUUCCCCACAAGUUCCUUACAUGAAUUGCAUAAUAGAGAUACAAGUAAGAAUCAUUAAGUUCUAUGAAAAUCAUAAGCAUUGACGAGGCACUCGUUACUAUGAAUUGCAUGAAACUUAUGCCAAGAAUUUAAUUAAAGCGAUUGUGACUAGCAACCUUCACUACUUGUGAAUAUAAGUUCAUAACGAUUAGGUGAAACUCCCUUAUAUUCUAGCGUCAAAUUCAUGCAUGAAAAUAAAGCGUGCACUCUCAACCUACAUACACAAAUCAGUUUUUAUACAAACGAAUAAGUAAAUUGAAUUCACAACUUACAAAACACAACUGGAUGUAAUCAAAUCAUAUUGCAAGCAUGAACAUGGUUUCGAAUCACCCCCCAACUAAGAAGGGCUUAGUUCCUCAUAAACGCAAAACAAAGAUACAUAAAUUUAGACAUUGAAAACACCUAGAAAUGCUCCAACAAUCCAACGUAUGAAAAAAAAAGAAAAAUUCGUGAAAAGAAAGAAAGAAAAAAGAAAAGUGUGAAAAGUAUGAAAAAAAGAGAUGAAAAGAUGUGAAAAAGAGUUCUAAAGUAUUGUUUGUUGAAGGAAGGGUCCAAAAAGUUGAAUUUGACCCUAAGAGUUGUUUAAAUCUUCCCUUUAUGUCUAAAAGUGAUUUCUGCAUUCUAAAGUGAAUUGUAAGUCUAGAUUUCAUUACUUUGCUUGCUAUUGCUUUAAGAAUGUUUGUUAUCCCUAUCCUUCCUUUGUUAACCAAUACCCCAAGCCCCCGUUACAACCCUUGACUUCAAUCUUGAGUGUUAUGUGUUUCAAUUUGUGGAGUUUGAAUCUGGUAUGAGCAUAUGGUGUCACUGGUCUCGUAUCUAAGUAGUAGCAUUCCAUUCAUGAGAUCAUAUCUAAACAUGCUUAUUAACUCCAGAAAUUGCUUUCUUUGUGAUACAUAUAUGUGAGCGUUCGUUUUCAUAUCUUGAUAGGAGCAUAUUUAUGCGCCUUAGUUAGUUAGUUCUUAUGCAUUUAUGUUGUGUUUUCUUAGUUAAGUUAGUCUUUUAAGCUUUUUUUCAUGUGUUUUCAGGUUUUAAGGACAAAGUGAGCAAAAGGAUGCAAUUUGGAGCAUUUUGGAGCAAAAUUGGGCUAGAAUGAAGUUCAUGCACAUGAAGCACAAAGGAUGGACGAAUUUGAAGGAUUGUUGAAGCUAGGAAUGUGUUUCAAAGUUGAAGAAUUGAAGAUACAAAGUUUCCUAGUUGAAGUAGGAAAGGGCUUAAAGUGAAGGAUUCCUAAAUGAAGAAGGAUUCCUAAUCAAUGUAGGAGUCCUAAUUGAUGAUGGAUUCCUAGAAGAAUGAUGUUUCCUACUCAAGCAAGUAUUCCUACAUGAAGAAGAAGAGUUAAAGUCAAAGAAUCAGCUCAAGAGAAGGAUCUUAUCCAAAACAUUAUCCAUAACCUUAUCUUAGCUUAUCUUAUCCAAACAAACCUUAUCCUAUCCUAUCUUAUCCUAAUCCUAAAUUAUCCACAUUUCAGCCACUUAGGAGGGUUUCUAACUAGAUUAGGAUGCUUAAAAUCAGAUUUCUAGAAGACCUAAUCUUAUCCUACAAAGAUGGCGCCUAGGAAACCUUUCUAGAAGCCUAAAAAUCUGCCUUGUAUUUCUUUCUAGAACCCUAGCUUUGUGCCGCACCCUAUACCUAUUUCCCUUGGAAUUUGGUUUCUAGAAGCCUUAUCUUUUCACACUCUUUGUGCCGCACAUUAUCUCCCAUUCCUUUUGGGUUUUUGACUUGUUUUCCUUAUAGGAUUGUAUGUUAUUAUCCUAUGCAGAUUAGGCCUUUAAAACCUUGUCCUUGGCUACCUUGGAGUGGGGAUUUUCAACCUAUAAAUACAAGCCCUUGCCGCACAUAUCACUCACCACCCUCUACCAUAUUUUCACUACAUCAUUCACCCAAAACCCCUCAUUGUGCCGUGAGUUUGCAAGGAGAAGAAGGAAGGAAUCUGGAGCCGUGCAUGCCAUUCAAGGAGCUUGGAUUGUUGGAGCGAUUCUAGGUGUUUUCUAUCUUUAUGUUAAUGUUUAAAUUUAUUUAUCUUUGUUUAUUUGCGAACAUGAGGAACUAAUUUCUUUAUAGUUAGAGGGGAAUUCAAAGCCAUGAUCAUAUGUUUUAUAUGACUUGAUUACCUCCAGUUAUGAUUUCAUGAAUCGUGAAUGUGGUUUACUUAUCUAUUUGAUUGAUAACAUGUUUAUGUAUGUUAAUUAAGGAUGCAUACUUAAUUCGCUUGCAUGAAUUUGAUGCUAGAGUAUAAGGGAAUUUCACCUAAUCGUUAUUAACUUAUAUUCAUAAGUAGUAAAAGUCGCUAGUCACGAUUGUGUUAAGUAAAUCCUUGGCAAGAGUAACAUGCGUAUUCCAUAGUUAUGAAUGCCUCGUCAAUGUUUAUGAUUUCCAUUGAACUUAAUGAUCUUUGAUAUGUGUCUCUAUCAUGCGUAUUCCAUAGUUAGGGUCCUUGAUAAGAAUAAUUUGGUUGUAAUGCGUAUUCCAUUCAAUUCAAUGAAUCUAGGGAAAUCUGAGAAUUAAUUGGUGCAAUCUAGUUAAUUUGGGGCAUUGUCAUUCAUGGUUUGUUGAAAGAGUAAUUGGAGAUCGAGUCGUAUGCAUAUGUUUCAUGUGUGGAGAAGGAACCCUCUAACUAGCCUUUCACCAUUCUAUUUCAUCAAAAUCGUUUUUGUUAAAGUUUGUUUUCAAAGUUUAUGUUUUAAAUUUCAAUUUUCGUCAAAACCAAACCCCUUACUUUUAAAUCUUGUUUUUAGAGUCAAAACGUGUGUUCUUUAAGUCUUUUGAGUCUUUGAAGUUCUAUUUUCGUCCAAAUCACUUGCUAGGUCUAGAAUUGAGUCUUUUUUUAUUGUUUCUUGCUGUUUUUAGUGUUUUAAGUUAGUUUUGAGUCUAUAGAGUCUAGUUUAGUGUUUUUGAGUCUUAUUUGUGUCAAUUAGCAUCCCUAGUUAAUCCCCGGUCUAGAACGAUCCCUACUUGCAUCAUUACUACAAUUGUCAUCAAUAGGGUUUAAUUUGUGUGUCAACAUAAUAUUCACACCAUAUCUACAUCAAUCUUCUCACAUAUAACUAGUAUAGGGUGUGUAGUUAGAAAAUCUGAGUGAAAAUUGAUUAAAUGUGAGCGAAUUCUCUAAGGCAUGUUACUACAUUCAAAAUGUUGUUUUAAUUGAUUAAAUGUGAACUAGUAAGUGGUGACUAUGAUUAAGUAUGUGCUCAAGUGUAAAGAUGACUCAAAUCUGUGGGGAUGAUGAUCUUUGGCAUGUCAUGUUCAUUGGAAAUCCCUAAGACAAUUGUUGGAAGGUCUAGAUUGUGGUUUGUUUUGUUUUGUUUUGCUCGAGGACUAGCAAAAGCUAAGUGUGGGGGAAUUUGAUAGGAGCAUAUUUAUGCAACUUAAUUAGCUUGUUUCCUUGCAUUUACAUUGCUAGUACUUAGUAAUUUUAGUAUUUUAAGCUAUUUUCGUGCAAUUUCAGGUUUUAAGGACAAAGUAUGCAAACAUGCAUUUUGGAGCAGUUUUGGGCUUGGAAUGGAUAGCUUAUGCUUGGAGCAAGGUGGAUGGACAAAAUUGAAGAUCAAAGGAGGCUAGGAAUGAAUAAUGAAAUGAAGAAAGGAAAAUGAAGAACAAAGAGUUCAGAAUUGGAAACCAAAGUUUCUAUUCUUGGAGGUUUCCAUUCUUGAAAGUUUCUAUUCUUGGUUUGGAAGUUUCCUAAUCCUUCCUCACCUAUGUUCCAGCCACAAAAGGAUUCCAAAAAUAUGUUAGGACAUUUAAUUACAUAAUCUAGAAGCCCUAAACCUUCCCUAAAGUCCAUGCCACACCAAAUUUGCAAGGAUCCUUCCUUGCCGCAAUUCCCUUUCCCUUUCUCUUCCAAAAUCUGCCACAUAUCCUCUUUCCCUUUCUCCCUUGCUUUGCCGCACCCCACAUUCCUUUUCCCCUCUUGAUUUCUGAUUUUCCUUAGCCUUUUUCUUAUGGAUUUGGGCUGAAAUUAUGUUUCCUUAAAUUAAUUAGGGUUAGGACUUUUCCAUCCCUAUAAAUAAACCCCUUUAUGCCGUAACUCUCUCUUCUUCUUAUCAGCCAUUCCACAUUCCAUCCAUCACCAUAACCUACCUACAUCCAUCCACCACCACAAUUCACCACAAAUCAUCACCAAACACCCUUGUGUCGCAGCAAAGAAGAAAGAAGGAGACCCUUAGACGUGCUUGCCAUUCAAGACGUUGGAUUGUUGGAGCGUUUCUAGGUGUAAUCUUUCUUUUGUUUUCAAUGUUUCAAUUCAAUAAUCUUUGUUUUGUGAGUAUGAGGAACUAAACCCUUUUAGUUAGGGGAUGAUUCGAAACCAUGUUCAUGCUUGCAAUAUGAUUUGAUUACAUCCAGUUGUGUUUUAUAAGUUGUGAAUUCAAUUUACUUAUCCGUUCGUAUAAAAACUGAUUUGUGUAUGUUGGUUGAGAGUGCAUGCUUAAUUUUCAUGCAUGAAUUUAAUGCUAUAAUAUAAGGGAGUUUCACCUAAUUGUUACGAACUUAUAUUCACAAGUAGUGAAGGUUGCUAGUCACAAUCGCUUUAAGUAAAUUCUUGGCAUAAGUUUCAUGCAAUUCAUAGUAACGAAUGCUUCGUCAAUGCUUAUGAUUUUCAUAGAACUUAAUGAUUCUUACUUGUAUCUCUAUUAUGCAAUUCAUGCAGGGAACUUGUGGGGAAUGCUUUGGGUUGUCGUAUGCAAUCAUCCAAUUCAAUAACUUUUGGAAAAUCUGAAAAACAACUGGAAAUCGUUUUGUAUGCAAGUGUGUCAUGUGUGGAGAAGAACCUCCUAACUAUCCUUUUAUCCAUAGUUUCAUCCAAAUUCGUUUUAAAACUCUGUUUUAGUUACAAUCUGUUUUCUUUGUUUUCAAAUUCGUCAAAACCAAAUCCCCCAUUAUUUUAAAGUGUUAGACUAGUUAGAAAUCAAUUUAGUUUGUGUUUUUAAGUGUUUUGGUUUGAGUUAUAACCCAAAUUCGUCCAAGUUUGUGUUAGGGUUCAAAACUGCCCAGAAAGUGUUUUUAAGGUAGUUUUGAGUGUUUUGGUUUGUUUUAGUGUUUUAGAGUUUAGUUUUGCAUUCUUUGAUUCUAGUUUAGUGUUUUAAACUUUGUUUUACGUAUUUGAGUCAGUUUAGAGUGUUUAGCAAUCCCUCCUAAUCCCCAGUUUAAGAACGAUCCCUACUUAUCCAUACUACAAUUGUCAACAAGAGGGUUAAUUUGUGUGUUAAGUUAAUUUUCGCAUCACUAGUUCGCAUAUAAUCCAUUAAAACAACAUUUUUGAAUGUUGUAACAUGCCUUAGAGAAUUCCCUCAAUUCCUUACUAGAUAUGCACUCAAUUUUCACUCAAAUUUUCUGACUACACACCCUACAUUGGUAUAUGUGAGAAGAUUGACGUAAACAUGAAAACUAGUACUCACAUAUGUUAUAGCAAAGAAAGCACUUUUCUGGAAUUAUUAAUGCAUGUAUAUAUAUGAUCUCAUGAACGAAAUGCUACUACUUAGAAGCGAGAACCAGUGAUAUCAUAUGCUCAUACCAAUUCCAAACUCCACAUAUUGAAAUACACAACACUUAUGAUUGAAGUCUAAGGGUUGUAACGGGGCUAAGGGUAUUGGCUAACAAAGGAAGGUAGGGAUAAACAAAGGUUCUUAAAGAAAUAGUAAGCAAAGUAAUGAAAUUGACACUUAGAAUUCACUUUUGAAUGCAAAAAAUAAACUUUUAAACACAAUGGGAAGAUUCAUGCAACACUUAGGGUCAAAUUCAAACUUUUGGACCCUUUCUUCAACAACCAACACAU